This is a non-coding RNA of Drosophila kikkawai, 677 nucleotides long. The record is from RefSeq and is a predicted model, not a curated record. Lineage: Eukaryota; Metazoa; Arthropoda; Insecta; Diptera; Drosophilidae.
UUAUACAUUGAAGUAACAAAAUUAUUAAAAUGGUAUAAAAUCAAGCAAGCAUUGUUAAUACAAAAGUUUACAUAAAUGAGGACAAUGUGCGAACGUAGAAUCGUCUGCAUUUCAAUCAGCAUAAGCUGUUUAAUUUUGUUCUAUUUUAUUUUCUUUGUGUCUAUGAUUUUAAAAAUAUACAUCCAGCUGGUAUAUGUGCUCUUUGGAUUCUUAGCUACGGUUUGCCUGUUGUAUGGAGCAAGUAGGGUAAGAAUGUUAUAUUUUCUUUCCAGUAAUACUAAAAAAGCCGAUCAAAUUUAUUUCCAGGAAAACCUCAAAUAUCUCCAAGCUUGUUUUUGGCUUAUGCUUAUAGCAAUUAUUUGGGCCAUACUAGUAUCUCUCAAGCGAAUCGUAGAAACAACUGGAAAAAGGAAGGCUUAUGUUUAUGAUGCCAUUGUGAUAGUUUCCGCAAUUGCUUUGAUCGUAUGUGACUGGGUUGUAUACAAAUUUGCUAAGGAAGUAAAUCAGAGAUGAUAAGAAAUGUUCUUGUAUCCGUUGGAAAACAUUGAAAUUACUUGUAUUUUCAGAGCUCUCAACUGAAUGUGAGUCAUGAUACCACCUCUAGAGACCAUAUGGUUUAUUAAGAACCCGACCCAGCCCUAGUUUUAUUCAAACAAUAAAUAAAUAUUCCCCAAAAA